GGCUCAGGAUGAACGCUAGCGGCAGGCUUAACACAUGCAAGUCGAGGGGCAGCAUGAGACGGAGAUUCGUCGAAGUCUUGAUGGCGACCGGCGCAAGGGUGCGUAACGCGUGAGCAACUUGCCCGUUUCUGGGGAAUAACCGGUGGAAACGCCGACUAAUACCCCAUAGUAUUGAGUUUAGGCAUCUUUACUCAAUUAAAGAAUUUCGGAAACGGAUAGGCUCGCGUGACAUUAGCUAGAUGGCGGGGUAACGGCCCACCAUGGCGACGAUGUCUAGGGGUUCUGAGAGGAAGGUCCCCCACACUGGAACUGAGACACGGUCCAGACUCCUACGGGAGGCAGCAGUGAGGAAUAUUGGUCAAUGGUCUGACGACUGAACCAGCCAUGCCGCGUGAAGGUGACGGCCCUAUGGGUCUUAAACUUCUUUUGUAAGGGAGCAAUAAGUCUUACGUGUAGGAUGAUGAGAGUACCUUACGAAUAAGCAUCGGCUAACUCCGUG
Molecule: ribosomal RNA, 499 nt
Filed under: uncultured bacterium
Lineage: Bacteria
Description: bacterial SSU rRNA
Rfam family: Bacterial small subunit ribosomal RNA
Source: RNAcentral